RNAcentral lists this ribosomal RNA (1144 nucleotides) under Clostridioides difficile. RNAcentral describes it as "partial 23S ribosomal RNA". It matches the Rfam family "Bacterial large subunit ribosomal RNA", at positions 1548 to 2703 of the family's 2925-position model. The record is from RNAcentral. Lineage: Bacteria; Bacillati; Bacillota; Clostridia; Peptostreptococcales; Peptostreptococcaceae.
UGAUAAUGCUGGGAUGUGAUGGGGAGCGAAAUUUAGUAGCGAAGUAGCUGAUUUCACACUGUCAAGAAAAGUCUCUAUCGAGGUUAAAGGUACCCGUACCGCAAACCGACACAGGUGGGUGAGGAGAGUAUCCUAAGGCCAGCGAGAGAACUGUUGUUAAGGAACUCGGCAAAAUGACCCCGUAACUUAGGGAUAAGGGGUGCCACCAUCAGGUGGCCGCAGAGAAUAGGCCCAAGCGACUGUUUACCAAAAACAUAGGUUUCUGCUAAGUCGCAAGACGAUGUAUAGGAGCUGACGCCUGCCCGGUGCUGGAAGGUUAAGGGGAUCUGUUAGAGCAAUCGAAGCAGUGAACUUAAGCCCCAGUAAACGGCGGCCGUAACUAUAACGGUCCUAAGGUAGCGAAAUUCCUUGUCGGGUAAGUUCCGACCCGCACGAAAGGCGUAACGAUUUGGGCACUGUCUCAACAACAGACUCGGUGAAAUUGUAAUUCCGGUGAAGAUGCCGGAUACCUGCGACAGGACGGAAAGACCCCAUGGAGCUUUACUGUAGCUUGACAUUGGGUCUUGGUACUACAUGUACAGGAUAGGUGGGAGGCUUUGAAACCAGGACGCCAGUUUUGGCGGAGCCAUCCUUGGGAUACCACCCUUGUAGUACUGGGACUCUAACCAUAGGCCAUGAAUCUGGUCUUGGGACACUGUCAGGUGGGCAGUUUGACUGGGGCGGUCGCCUCCCAAAAGGUAACGGAGGCGCUCAAAGGUUCUCUCAGUACGGUCGGAAAUCGUACGUAGAGUGUAAAGGCAAAAGAGAGCUUGAUUGCAAGACAUACAGGUCGAGCAAGGAUGAAAAUCGGACUUAGUGAUCCGGUGGUUCUGCGUGGAAGGGCCAUCGCUCAACGGAUAAAAGCUACCCUGGGGAUAACAGGCUUAUCUCCCCCAAGAGUCCACAUCGACGGGGAGGUUUGGCACCUCGAUGUCGGCUCAUCACAUCCUGGGGCUGUAGUAGGUCCCAAGGGUUGGGCUGUUCGCCCAUUAAAGUGGUACGCGAGCUGGGUUCAGAACGUCGUGAGACAGUUCGGUCCCUAUCCGUCGCAGGCGUAGGAAAUUUGAGAAGACCUGUCCUUAGUACGAGAGGACCGGGAUGGACG